RNAcentral lists this ribosomal RNA (1477 nucleotides) under Salmonella enterica subsp. enterica serovar Typhi. RNAcentral's name for it is "bacterial SSU rRNA". It matches the Rfam family "Bacterial small subunit ribosomal RNA". The record is from RNAcentral. Lineage: Bacteria; Pseudomonadati; Pseudomonadota; Gammaproteobacteria; Enterobacterales; Enterobacteriaceae.
UCUGCUCAGAUUGAACGCUGGCGGCAGGCCUAACACAUGCAAGUCGAACGGUAACAGGAAGCAGCUUGCUGCUUUGCUGACGAGUGGCGGACGGGUGAGUAAUGUCUGGGAAACUGCCUGAUGGAGGGGGAUAACUACUGGAAACGGUGGCUAAUACCGCAUAACGUCGCAAGACCAAAGAGGGGGACCUUCGGGCCUCUUGCCAUCAGAUGUGCCCAGAUGGGAUUAGCUUGUUGGUGAGGUAACGGCUCACCAAGGCGACGAUCCCUAGCUGGUCUGAGAGGAUGACCAGCCACACUGGAACUGAGACACGGUCCAGACUCCUACGGGAGGCAGCAGUGGGGAAUAUUGCACAAUGGGCGCAAGCCUGAUGCAGCCAUGCCGCGUGUAUGAAGAAGGCCUUCGGGUUGUAAAGUACUUUCAGCGGGGAGGAAGGUGUUGUGGUUAAUAACCGCAGCAAUUGACGUUACCCGCAGAAGAAGCACCGGCUAACUCCGUGCCAGCAGCCGCGGUAAUACGGAGGGUGCAAGCGUUAAUCGGAAUUACUGGGCGUAAAGCGCACGCAGGCGGUCUGUCAAGUCGGAUGUGAAAUCCCCGGGCUCAACCUGGGAACUGCAUUCGAAACUGGCAGGCUUGAGUCUUGUAGAGGGGGGUAGAAUUCCAGGUGUAGCGGUGAAAUGCGUAGAGAUCUGGAGGAAUACCGGUGGCGAAGGCGGCCCCCUGGACAAAGACUGACGCUCAGGUGCGAAAGCGUGGGGAGCAAACAGGAUUAGAUACCCUGGUAGUCCACGCCGUAAACGAUGUCUACUUGGAGGUUGUGCCCUUGAGGCGUGGCUUCCGGAGCUAACGCGUUAAGUAGACCGCCUGGGGAGUACGGCCGCAAGGUUAAAACUCAAAUGAAUUGACGGGGGCCCGCACAAGCGGUGGAGCAUGUGGUUUAAUUCGAUGCAACGCGAAGAACCUUACCUGGUCUUGACAUCCACAGAACUUUCCAGAGAUGGAUUGGUGCCUUCGGGAACUGUGAGACAGGUGCUGCAUGGCUGUCGUCAGCUCGUGUUGUGAAAUGUUGGGUUAAGUCCCGCAACGAGCGCAACCCUUAUCCUUUGUUGCCAGCGGUCCGGCCGGGAACUCAAAGGAGACUGCCAGUGAUAAACUGGAGGAAGGUGGGGAUGACGUCAAGUCAUCAUGGCCCUUACGACCAGGGCUACACACGUGCUACAAUGGCGCAUACAAAGAGAAGCGACCUCGCGAGAGCAAGCGGACCUCAUAAAGUGCGUCGUAGUCCGGAUUGGAGUCUGCAACUCGACUCCAUGAAGUCGGAAUCGCUAGUAAUCGUGGAUCAGAAUGCCACGGUGAAUACGUUCCCGGGCCUUGUACACACCGCCCGUCACACCAUGGGGAGUGGGUUGCAAAAGAAGUAGGUAGCUUAACCUUCGGGAGGGCGCUUACCACUUUGUGAUUCAUGACUGGGGUGAUC